UACGGAGGGUGCAAGCGUUAUCCGGAAUCACUGGGUUUAAAGGGUGCGUAGGCGGCUUAGUAAGUCAGGAGUGAAAGCCUGCGGCUUAACCGUAGAAUUGCUUUUGAUACUGCUGAGCUUGAAUUAGGUUGAGGUAGGCGGAAUGGGACAUGUAGCGGUGAAAUGCAUAGAUAUGUCAUAGAACACCAAUUGCGAAGGCAGCUGACUAAGCCUUAAUUGACGCUGAGGCACGAAAGCGUGGGGAGCAAACAGG
Molecule: ribosomal RNA, 253 nt
Filed under: uncultured bacterium
Lineage: Bacteria
Description: partial 16S ribosomal RNA
Rfam family: Bacterial small subunit ribosomal RNA
Source: RNAcentral